UUGACCUCGGAUUAGGUAGGAAUACCCGCUGAACUUAAGCAUAUCAAUAAGCGGAGGAAAA
This 61-nucleotide ribosomal RNA is filed under the name Hypomontagnella monticulosa. Its description in RNAcentral is "partial 28S ribosomal RNA". It matches the Rfam family "Eukaryotic large subunit ribosomal RNA", at positions 1 to 60 of the family's 3401-position model. Lineage: Eukaryota; Fungi; Ascomycota; Sordariomycetes; Xylariales; Hypoxylaceae. The record is from RNAcentral.